GAUGAACGCUGGCGGCGUGCCUAAUACAUGCAAGUCGAGCGAACAGACGAGGAGCUUGCUCCUCUGACGUUAGCGGCGGACGGGUGAGUAACACGUGGAUAACGUACCUAUAAGACUGGUAUAACUUCGGGAAACCGGAGCUUAUACCGGAUAAUAUAUUGAACCGCAGGGUGCAAUAGUUAAAGACGGUGUUGCGGUCACUUAUAGAUGGAUCCGCGCCGCAUUAGCUAGUUGUUAAGGUAACGGCUUACCAAGGCGAAGAGGCGUAGCCGACCGGUGAGGGUGCUCGGCCCCCCUGGAACUGAGACAGGGUCCAGACUACUACGGGAGGCAGCAGUAGGCAACGUUACGCAACGGGCGAAAGCCUGACAGAGAAACCGCGCGUGAGUGACGAAGGUCUUCCGAUCGUAAAACUCUGUUACUAGGGAUGAACAAAUGUGUCAGUAACUAUGCACGUAUUGACGGUACCUAAUCAGAAAGCCACGGCUAACUACGUG
Molecule: ribosomal RNA, 497 nt
Filed under: uncultured bacterium
Lineage: Bacteria
Description: partial 16S ribosomal RNA
Rfam family: Bacterial small subunit ribosomal RNA
Source: RNAcentral